GCGCUCGUGGUGAAACGGAUAUCACAACAGUCUUCGGAACUGUCGUUGGGGGUUCGAAUCCUCCCGAGCGCA
This 72-nucleotide transfer RNA is filed under the name Patescibacteria group bacterium. RNAcentral's name for it is "tRNA-Arg". It matches the Rfam family "tRNA". From Rfam's summary of the family: Transfer RNA (tRNA) molecules are approximately 80 nucleotides in length. Their secondary structure includes four short double-helical elements and three loops (D, anti-codon, and T loops). The record is from RNAcentral.